UACGAAGGGGGCUAGCGUUGCUCGGAAUCACUGGGCGUAAAGGGCGCGUAGGCGGAUUUCUAAGUCGGGGGUGAAAGCCUGUGGCUCAACCACAGAAUUGCCUUCGAUACUGUUUGGCUUGAGUUUGGUAGAGGUUGGUGGAACUGCGAGUGUAGAGGUGAAAUUCGUAGAUAUUCGCAAGAACACCAGUGGCGAAGGCGGCCAACUGGACCAACACUGACGCUGAGGCGCGAAAGCGUGGGGAGCAAACAGG
This 253-nucleotide ribosomal RNA is filed under the name uncultured bacterium. Its description in RNAcentral is "partial 16S ribosomal RNA". It matches the Rfam family "Bacterial small subunit ribosomal RNA", at positions 524 to 776 of the family's 1533-position model. The record is from RNAcentral.